RNAcentral lists this ribosomal RNA (374 nucleotides) under Clostridioides difficile. Its description in RNAcentral is "partial 23S ribosomal RNA". It matches the Rfam family "Bacterial large subunit ribosomal RNA", at positions 2351 to 2724 of the family's 2925-position model. The record is from RNAcentral. Lineage: Bacteria; Bacillati; Bacillota; Clostridia; Peptostreptococcales; Peptostreptococcaceae.
GUAAAGGCAAAAGAGAGCUUGAUUGCAAGACAUACAGGUCGAGCAAGGAUGAAAAUCGGACUUAGUGAUCCGGUGGUUCUGCGUGGAAGGGCCAUCGCUCAACGGAUAAAAGCUACCCUGGGGAUAACAGGCUUAUCUCCCCCAAGAGUCCACAUCGACGGGGAGGUUUGGCACCUCGAUGUCGGCUCAUCACAUCCUGGGGCUGUAGUAGGUCCCAAGGGUUGGGCUGUUCGCCCAUUAAAGUGGUACGCGAGCUGGGUUCAGAACGUCGUGAGACAGUUCGGUCCCUAUCCGUCGCAGGCGUAGGAAAUUUGAGAAGACCUGUCCUUAGUACGAGAGGACCGGGAUGGACGUACCUCUGGUGUACCAGUUGU